UAGUGUUUAGUACUAAAAUUACUGAUUGUUUACUAAAGUUUAAUUGGAUAAUAUUAU
This 57-nucleotide transfer RNA is filed under the name Pseudogarypus banksi. RNAcentral's name for it is "tRNA-Val". The record is from RNAcentral. Lineage: Eukaryota; Metazoa; Arthropoda; Arachnida; Pseudoscorpiones; Pseudogarypidae.